Molecule: small nuclear RNA, 289 nt
Filed under: Salmo salar (Atlantic salmon)
Lineage: Eukaryota; Metazoa; Chordata; Actinopteri; Salmoniformes; Salmonidae
Description: 7SK RNA
Rfam family: 7SK RNA
About the family: 7SK was discovered as an abundant small nuclear RNA in the mid-70s but a possible function has only recently been suggested. Two independent studies have found that 7SK RNA binds the CDK9/cyclin T complex (known as elongation factor P-TEFb).
Source: Rfam by way of RNAcentral
AAAUGUGAGGGCGAUCUGGCUGCAACAUGUCACGCCAUUUAUCGAGUUGAUUAGGCUGGCUGGGCAGGCGUCACCUUUCUCCCUCAUCACUCCAUGUGUGUCCCUGCUGAAGCCCGUGCUUUGAGGAAGAGGACCAUACUUCCCCAUUAGUAGACGUGUAGCUGCACUCCCCUGCUAGAAUCUCCAAACGAGCUCCAGGCCCAGUUGUAGGAGAAACAUAGGGAAGUCAAGCUCUAAGACAUAUAACACAUCCAAAUGAGCCACUGCAUGUGGCAGUCUAACAGCAAUU